UCCCUGGUGGUUCAGAGAGUGAAGCGUCUGCCUGCAAUGCAGGAGACCCAGGUUCGAUCCCUGGGUCGGGAA
Molecule: non-coding RNA, 72 nt
Organism: Bos taurus (domestic cattle)
Lineage: Eukaryota; Metazoa; Chordata; Mammalia; Artiodactyla; Bovidae
Source: Rfam